UGCAAGUCGAACGGUGACGAGCAGCUUGCUGCUCUGAUCAGUGGCGAACGGGUGAGUAACACGUGAGCAACCUACCCUUGACUCCGGGAUAACAGCUGGAAACAGCUGCUAAUACCGGAUACGACCUCGACCGACAUCGGCUGAGGUGGAAAGUUCUGGCGGUCAAGGAUGGGCUCGCGGCCUAUCAGCUAGUUGGUGAGGUAACGGCUCACCAAGGCUUCGACGGGUAGCCGGCCUGAGAGGGCGACCGGCCACACUGGGACUGAGAUACGGCCCAGACUCCUACGGGAGGCAGCAGUGGGGAAUAUUGCACAAUGGGCGAAAGCCUGAUGCAGCAACGCCGCGUGCGGGAUGACGGCCUUCGGGUUGUAAACCGCUUUCAGCUCCGACGAAGCGCAAGUGACGGUAGGAGCAGAAGAAGGACCGGCCAACUACGUGCCAGCAGCCGCGGUGAUACGUAGGGUCCGAGCGUUGUCCGGAAUUAUUGGGCGUAAAGGGCUUGUAGGCGGUUUGUCGCGUCGGAAGUGAAAACUCAGGGCUUAACCCUGAGCCUGCUUCCGAUACGGGCAAACUAGAGGAAUGCAGGGGAGAAUGGAAUUCCUGGUGGAGCGGUGGAAUGCGCAGAUAUCAGGAGGAACACCAGUGGCGAAGGCGGUUCUCUGGGCAUUUCCUGACGCUGAGAAGCGAAAGCGUGGGGAGCAAACAGGCUUAGAUACCCUGGUAGUCCACGCCGUAAACGGUGGGCACUAGGUGUGGGACUCAUUCCACGAGUUCCGUGCCGUAGCUAACGCAUUAAGUGCCCCGCCUGGGGAGUACGGCCGCAAGGCUAAAACUCAAAGGAAUUGACGGGGGCCCGCACAAGCGGCGGAGCAUGCGGAUUAAUUCGAUGCAACGCGAAGAACCUUACCUAGGUUUGACAUAUACCGGAAAGCUGCAGAGAUGUAGCCCCCGCAAGGUCGGUAUACAGGUGGUGCAUGGCUGUCGUCAGCUCG
RNAcentral lists this ribosomal RNA (992 nucleotides) under Microlunatus sp. CB 286545. RNAcentral's name for it is "bacterial SSU rRNA". It matches the Rfam family "Bacterial small subunit ribosomal RNA", at positions 56 to 1062 of the family's 1533-position model. Lineage: Bacteria; Bacillati; Actinomycetota; Actinomycetes; Propionibacteriales; Propionibacteriaceae. The record is from RNAcentral.